Molecule: ribosomal RNA, 244 nt
Filed under: uncultured bacterium
Lineage: Bacteria
Description: partial 16S ribosomal RNA
Rfam family: Bacterial small subunit ribosomal RNA
Source: RNAcentral
AAGCGCGCCCAGUGGUUUUUUAANUNUGAUGUGAAAGCCCCCGGNUCANCCCGGGAGGGUCANUGGAAACUNGGGAACUUGAGUGCAGAAGAGGAUAGUGGAAUUCCAAGUGUAGCGGUGAAAUGCGUAGAGAUUUGGAGGAACACCAGUGGCGAAGGCGACUAUCUGGUCUGUAACUGACACUGAGGCGCGAAAGCGUGGGGAGCAAACAGGAUUAGAUACCCUGGUAGUCCACGCCGUAAAC